UACAGAGGGGGCAAGCGUUGUUCGGAAUUACUGGGCGUAAAAGGCGCGUAGGCGGCCUGCUAAGUCGAACGUGAAAUCCCCGGGCUCAACCCGGGAACUGCGUCCGAUACUGGUGGGCUUGAAUCCGGGAGAGGGAUGUGGAAUUCCAGGUGUAGCGGUGAAAUGCGUAGAUAUCUGGAGGAACACCGGUGGCGAAGGCGACAUCCUGGACCGGUAUUGACGCUGAGGCGCGAAAGCUAGGGGAGCAAACGGG
RNAcentral lists this ribosomal RNA (253 nucleotides) under uncultured bacterium. Its description in RNAcentral is "partial 16S ribosomal RNA". It matches the Rfam family "Bacterial small subunit ribosomal RNA", at positions 524 to 776 of the family's 1533-position model. The record is from RNAcentral.